Molecule: non-coding RNA, 78 nt
Organism: Anneissia japonica
Lineage: Eukaryota; Metazoa; Echinodermata; Crinoidea; Comatulida; Comatulidae
Source: the annotation of a RefSeq genome assembly
GCGUCGGUGGUGUAGUGGUUAACAUACCGGGUAUUGCCUUUCAAGCAAUAGUCCCGGAUUCGAUUCCCGGUCGGUGCA